CGUGAAAAAAUUAGAGUGUUCAAAGCGGGCAGAUAUUUUUCCUGCCACCGAAUACAUUAGCAUGGGAUAAUGGAAUAGGACCCUGACCUCCUAUUUUCAGUUGGUUUUGUUUACAGCGAGGUUAUAUCAGGGUAAUGAUUAAUAGGGAUAGUUGGGGGCAUUAAUAUUUAAUUGUCAGAGGUGAAAUUCUUGGAUUUAUGAAAGAUUAACUUCUGCGAAAGCGUUUGCCAAGGAUGUUUUCAUUAAUCAAGAACGAAAGUUAGGGGAUCGAAGACGAUCAGAUACCGUCGUAGUCUUAACCAUAAACGAUGCCGACCAGCGAUUAGGAGACGUUGAAUACAAAACACCGCCGUUAAUCCUUUCGGGGGUUAAUGGUUGGUGAAUGACUCCCC
This 392-nucleotide ribosomal RNA is filed under the name Acanthamoeba lenticulata. Its description in RNAcentral is "SSU rRNA". It matches the Rfam family "Eukaryotic small subunit ribosomal RNA", at positions 756 to 1080 of the family's 1831-position model. The record is from RNAcentral. Lineage: Eukaryota; Discosea; Longamoebia; Acanthamoebidae.